AUGCCACGGGAGCCGGUUGAGGAUGUAGAUGGUCGUCAGCACCGCCUCUCCCUAGAAAACAGCCGGCAUCCCUCGCUGCUUGAGGAGAGCCCGAGCCAUCCCCACAACCGUCUGGUUGCGCCGCUCGACGACUCCGUUUUGCUACGGGCUGUACGACGCGGAGUAGUGGCGCUGGAUGCCCUCAUCGGCGCAGUACGGCGCGAAUUUAGCCGCCGUGAAUUUGCCGCCGUUCAAGGACUCGAUCGACCGAGCCAUCUACUUGUACUUCUCAGGGAUGCACCGAAAGAGCUUCUCGACAGCUCUCUCCUCGGUGUAGGUGGCAUUACCAAACUUCACCAACUUCUGCAGCAGAGUGUUGAGACGGAGAGCAAAGUCAUCAACGUCCUCACCUGGCUUGAAAGCCAGGCUCUCCCACUCCUUACGAACUCCGCUGCAGCCAGCCUCGACAUCCUUGCUGCCGCCGCAGCUGCUGCUACAGCUGCUCGCUCACGCUCCUCUGCCACGGCGCAUGCUAGUCUAAGAUGCUAUCCUAACUGCCAGUCCUUGAUGGUCAGGAACUCUAUCCUAACUGCCACAAGGACCAUGUGCCGCAGCCCCACAAGGACCAGCAGCCCCACAAGGACUAUGUGCUGCAGCCCCACAAAGACCCUAGUACACAGACUUAUCCAACAAGCUGCGGAGGUUCUCCGCCUUCGAAUGAAAGGCAAGCAUGAAGAAGCUGACCAGCUUUCGGUAAGUGCUGUGCUGCUGCUGCUGCAUACUAUAAAGCAUGCUAUAGCUGCUGAAAGCAGGAAAGGAGAAGAAAAUGCUGACCUGCAUGCUACAAAUAUAAUUAUUCAGAACAAACAUUACGACAUGUCUAGAUGCGUCGAGGAUGAGUACGAAGAUCUGGGUGAUGCUCCCAGAAGCAAGAGUAGAGAUGCGCGUGUGGAGAAGAAGAGCACCCAUAGGCACAUCUUAACCCAGAAAGAGCGCUGUUUGUACUGUUUCGAGAACCCAUCCAGGUUGGUUGUUGCUGUAGGAAACUUCACUUACCUGAUGCUGCCUCAGUUUGACCCUGUUGUUCGAGGGCACUGUCUUAUUCUUCCAUUGCAGCAUGAGCCUGCAACUAGAGCAACUGACAGCGGUGCUUGGGAGGAGAUUCCCAACUUCAAAAAGUGCCUCCUGAAGAUGUUCUUGCAGCAGGGCAAGGAUGUGAUCUUCUUGGAGACCGUUGUAGGCUUGGCCAAGCAACGGAGACAUUGCAUGAUCGAAUGCAUCCCUGUCCCCUGCGAAGUUUCACACAAAGCGCCCAUGUACUUCAAAAAGGCGAUCGAUGAAGCCGAAGAAGAAUGGUCCCAGCAUGAGGCGAAAAAGCUCAUCCGGACGAGCGGUGACCUGAGGCAAGUCAUCCCGGAGAACUUCGCCUACUUCCAUGUGGAGUUUGGGCUGGACCGUGGGUUUGUCCACGUGAUAGACGACGAGGGCAAAUUCAGUGCUGGUUUUGGACUGGAUGUCAUCAGAGGUGUGCUCCGCUUGCCAGCGCAGGGCAUGGACCGACGUCCAAGACAUGUGCCCAUGGAUGAUCAGAAGAAAGCCAUCGCCGGCUUCGUGAAGGACUGGGGGCCUUUCGACUGGACAAAGCAACUCGACUAG
RNAcentral lists this ribosomal RNA (1635 nucleotides) under Triticum aestivum (bread wheat). RNAcentral describes it as "partial small subunit ribosomal RNA". The record is from RNAcentral. Lineage: Eukaryota; Viridiplantae; Streptophyta; Magnoliopsida; Poales; Poaceae.